AGAGUUUGAUUCUGGCUCAGGAUGAACGCUGGCGGCGUGCCUAAUACAUGCAAGUCGAACGGAGAUUCUGCCGUAAUUCGUUACAGCGGAAAUCUCAGUGGCGAACGGGUGAGUAACGCGUUGGUGACCUGCCCCGGAGAGGGGAAUAACAGCUUGAAAGGGCUGCUAAUACCCCAUGAUGUCUAAAGGGUUAGAAACCUCUAGACGAAAGGCUUCGGUCGCUUCGGGAGGGGCCUGCGUCCCAUCAGCUAGUUGGUAGGGUAAUGGCCUACCAAGGCGAAGACGGGUAGGGGACCUGAGAGGGUGACCCCCCACAAUGGAACUGAAACACGGUCCAUACACCUACGGGUGGCAGCAGUAGGGAAUAUUGCACAAUGGGCGAAAGCCUGAUGCAGCAACGCCGCGUGCGCGAAGAAGGCCUUCGGGUUGUAAAGCGCUUUUCGGGGAGAAGAGAAAGGACGGUAUCCCCGGAAUAAGGAUCGGCUAACUACGUGCCAGCAGCCGCGGUAAAACGUAGGAUCCGAGCGUUAUCCGAAUUCACUGGGCGUAAAGCGCGUGUAGGCGGUUCGGUAAGUUGGAUGUGAAAGCUCCCGGCUCAACUGGGAGAGGACGUUCAAAACUGUUGGACUAGAGGGCGGAAGAGGGAGGUGGAAUACCCGGUGUAGUGGUGAAAUGCGUAGAUAUCGGGAGGAACACCAGUUGGCGAAGGCGGCCUCCUGGGCCGCACCUGACGCUCAGACGCGAAAGCUAGGGUAGCAAACGGGAUUAGAAACCCCGGUAGUCCUAGCCGUAAACGAUGUAGACUUGGUGUUGGUGGGGUAAAAGCCAUCAGUG
RNAcentral lists this ribosomal RNA (834 nucleotides) under uncultured Chloroflexota bacterium. Its description in RNAcentral is "bacterial SSU rRNA". It matches the Rfam family "Bacterial small subunit ribosomal RNA", at positions 8 to 845 of the family's 1533-position model. Lineage: Bacteria; Bacillati; Chloroflexota. The record is from RNAcentral.